RNAcentral lists this ribosomal RNA (431 nucleotides) under uncultured bacterium. RNAcentral describes it as "partial 16S ribosomal RNA". It matches the Rfam family "Bacterial small subunit ribosomal RNA", at positions 338 to 795 of the family's 1533-position model. The record is from RNAcentral.
CCUACGGGAGGCAGCAGUAAGGAAUAUUGGUCAAUGGACGCAAGUCUGAACCAGCCAUGCCGCGUGAAGGAUGAAGGCCCUUGGGUUGUAAACUUCUUUUAUCUGGGAAGCGGUACCAGAGGAAUAAGCACCGGCUAACUCCGUGCCAGCAGCCGCGGUAAUACGGAGGGUGCAAGCGUUAUCCGGAUUCACUGGGUUUAAAGGGUGCGUAGGUGGGAAUGUAAGUCAGUGGUGAAAUCUCCGUGCUUAACAUGGAAACUGCCAUUGAUACUAUGUUUCUUGAAUUUUCUGGAGGUAAGCGGAAUAUGUCAUGUAGCGGUGAAAUGCUUAGAUAUGACAUAGAACACCAAUUGCGAAGGCAGCUUGCUACGGAUAUUGACACUGAGGCACGAAAGCGUGGGGAUCAAACAGGAUUAGAUACCCUUGUAGUC